UACGUAGGGUCCAAGCGUUAUCCGGAAUUACUGGGCGUAAAGCGUGCGUAGGCGGGUGUUUAAGUGCAAUGCGAAAUCCUGUGGCUCAACCAUAGGACUGUAUUGCAUACUGGACGCCUGGAGGAAUGCAGAGGCAAGUGGAAUUACCGGUGUAGCAGUGAAAUGCGUAGAGAUCGGUAGGAACACCAAUGGCGAAGGCAGCUUGCUGGGCAUUUUCUGACGCUAAGGCACGAAAGCGUGGGGAGCGAACAGG
Molecule: ribosomal RNA, 253 nt
Filed under: uncultured bacterium
Lineage: Bacteria
Description: partial 16S ribosomal RNA
Rfam family: Bacterial small subunit ribosomal RNA
Source: RNAcentral